CCCUUCGGGGUGUAAACCUCUGUCAGAUGGGAAGAUGGGACUAGGGGCUAAUACCUCCUAGUCUUGACGGUACCAUCAAAGGAAGGGACGGCUAACUACGUGCCAGCCGCCGCGGUAAUACGUAGGUCCCGAGCGUUGCGCGAUGUUACUGGGCGUAAAGCGUCCGUAGCUGGUUUCGUAAGCGGAUUGUCAAAACCCGAAGCUCACCUUCGGCAAGGCAUUCCGAACUGCGUUACUUGAGUCCUGUUCAGGUAGGCGGAAUUCCCGGUGUAGCGGUGAAAUGCGUAAAUAUCGGGAGGAACACCAGUGGCGAAGGCGGCCUACUGGGACGGUACUGACGGUCAUGGACGAAAGCUGGGGGAGCAAACCGGAUUAUAUACCCGGGUAGUCCCAGCCGUAAACGAUGGAUGUUAGGUGUAGUGAUAACUUCGCUGCACCCCAGCUAACGCGUUAAACAUCCCGCCUGGGGAGUACGGGCGCAAGCCUGAAACUCAAAGGAAUUGACGG
This 507-nucleotide ribosomal RNA is filed under the name uncultured bacterium. RNAcentral describes it as "bacterial SSU rRNA". It matches the Rfam family "Bacterial small subunit ribosomal RNA", at positions 414 to 916 of the family's 1533-position model. The record is from RNAcentral.